UACAGAGGGGGCAAGCGUUGUUCGGAAUUACUGGGCGUAAAGGGCGCGUAGGCGGCCACCUAAGUCAGACGUGAAAUCCCUCGGCUCAACCGGGGAACUGCGUCUGAUACUGGGCGGCUUGAAUUCGGGAGAGGGAUGCGGAAUUCCAGGUGUAGCGGUGAAAUGCGUAGAUAUCGAGAGGAACACCUGCGGCGAAGGCGGGUUGCUGGGCCGACACUGACGCUGAGGCGCGAAAGCCAGGGGAGCGAACGGG
Molecule: ribosomal RNA, 253 nt
Filed under: uncultured bacterium
Lineage: Bacteria
Description: partial 16S ribosomal RNA
Rfam family: Bacterial small subunit ribosomal RNA
Source: RNAcentral